ACCGGUAAAAUAUUUUUAAGGCCAUUUUUCCCCGGUCACAAAUUACCCAUUUUUUUUUUUUUUUUUUUUUUUUUUUGGGGGGCCAUUUUUGACCCAUCGGCGAGUGAAGACGUCAAUGUGUAGUAUAGUCGUUAUUAUGAACAGGAACAAUAAUUCGGAGAGUCAGUGUAGAAUUAUUUUCCAAUUUCAACUUACGGAUGAAUAGAUGAGCGGGAAAAUAAUUUCUGACGCAACUUUGGGGCUUCAUAAUAUAAUUCUGAUAUUAUAAAUGUUGCUGAUAUUUCAAAGCC
Molecule: non-coding RNA, 290 nt
Filed under: Chattonella subsalsa
Lineage: Eukaryota; Raphidophyceae; Chattonellales; Chattonellaceae
Source: RNAcentral